CCCCCUUGAUCAGACAAGCCCUAAGAAUAACCAAGUGAACAGAAUUAAUAAUUUAGACUCGGCUUUGAGCCAUAUACCUCUCCAAGUUAAAUUUUUUCAAAACCCAACAUACACAGCCAUAUUUAGAAUGCAAAUCAAGGAAAAAUUUAAGUAUAUUCUAGGGUAAAAACUCAAGUAGGGUUUUGAAGCGUAUAAGAGCAUUUUGGACUCAAGAAACAUGAAUAACCAACAAGUUCCUUAUUUGCUUCAUGGUAGGAAAUUCUCUAGCAGCGAACCAAUGAAAGAAACAAGGUUUUCUCAAGUCAAGUCAGCAAGGUUGUGUCCAAAAGACUUUCAAACUAAAGACGUUGAGGCUAAAAGGUAGCAAGGUAGCAAGGUGCAAAACUGCGCUCCAAAUCAGAAUUUUUUGCAGCCAUGAAACAAGUACAAUCAUGAGGUUUUCACCUCCCAAUCUUCAUAGUUUUCAUUCAAAUUCAAGCACAAAAGGCUCCUCCAAAGUUUGGAACAGGUUUUGGCCAAAACCAAUUACUAAAAGGUUAGAAAAACAACAAUGUAAUAGGCUGCACUCUCCAUCGACAAACAAGCACAAUUUUAGCCAGCAAUUUGGAAGGAAAUCGCAAUGAAACCCUUCCAUUUCAACCAAAAUGCAAUACAUAAGCAAAGCUUAAAGGUUCACUAAGCAUAUUAGGCAAGUACAUCACCAAAUUAGUCCAAAAUCAAGGUAGUAAGCUGCCCCAAAAUUUGGACAGCAUAUCCCCUAUUUUAUCCUAUAUUUCCUCUCCAAAUUCAAUACAAAAUUUCAUGGCCAAACCAUCCAAAUCAAGACCACAAAUGAUAGGCUAUACAAGCUACUAGUUUCAGACCAUAAAGCCACAAAAAAUAUACAAGUAUUCUGUGACAGCCCCACUUCCCCCUUAGGCGAACCAGAGGGUUCAGCGGACCGCCUGCCCAACUCUCGCCGGGACUCAGUCGUUCACUCACACAAAUCAGAAAUAGAACCACAAGAAAAAGCAAAAUGAGGGUCCAAAACUUAAAACAAAACUUAUAUACAUUACUAUCUCAGAAAGAAGUACAACUUUCGAGAAUACAAAAGUUCUCAAGUCACCAUACAACCAGCCCGUGCCAAGGACUAGGGCGAGAACCAAAACAAAACCAAAACUAGACCCAGCCAGUCGAUACAGAGCUCUCGCCCUUGCUCGCCUACCCCUGAUAAGGAAAACAAAACUAAAGGGAUGAGCUAAAAGCUCAGUGAGGUUCCGAACAUGUAAUUAAACAACAAAGCCAAUACAUUGACCAUCAAUAAUCAAUAAUUCAAGAAACAUUUAGCAUGGAAAGAAAUAAGAACACAUACAUUAAAAGGAUACGGCUCACAUGGAGCAAUUCAUUCGAUCAUCCAUUCGUUCUCCUGACAUUUCCCCUUAUUCCUCCAAUCAUUUGAAAAUUUCAUUUUUGUAAAUAAACCCUCGUUCGUUCGUUCAUUCGUUCAUUUCAUUCACCCCCUCCUGGAAAUUGGCUAGGCUCCACCAACCUACAAGGUAAUACUCGAGUAUACCAAACGUUCACCCAGGUCACCAUAUCGCCCGACCGAGUCCGCUUCUGGCUCGAGUCGAUCAGUAACAAGGGGCAGUGGUCAGUUCAGCCAAAAGGCUUACAUUCAUGCACAAGUAACAUUUCUAUCGUUCAAUCAUUGAAAUUUCAUAAUCAUUUAGGCUGAGUGCGAUAAAGUACACACUCGCCUAGAAAACUCGUUUUGGCUAAUCAUUGAAAGCACUUAACACGUUAUCAACCAAUAAUACAAGUCAUGAAGUCAAGAAAAUACAACAAACAAGGAACACUCACCUAAUUAUGCAAAAUAACGUGCAAAAUAUCCUUCUGGAUAGUGUGACAGCCCCACCUCACCCUAAGGCGAACCAAAGGGUUUAGCGGACCGCCUGCCCAACUCUCGCCAGGACUACGGAGUUGAAUUACACAAAUCUGAUAUUACGCGAGAUAGGACCCAAAAGAAUUGAACGAUUGAAGACCGCCAAGCUUACAAGUAACUUACCAAAAUCACAUGGGGAAAACACUUUCAUAUAUACAUGUCGCUAGGUUUACAAUACAAGUGGAACUAGUGAAAUGAAAUACAUUUGGAGUUUGCUCACUCGCGAGGAGCUAUACAAAAGAACAAAAGAUUAUCUAACUAGCUCAACUUGCUUCUCAAAAUCAUGAUUUCCAAAAGAGGUUCCUGUAAGGAAAACAAAGAUAAUGAGGAGGGGGUGAGCUUACGCCCAAUGAGGUACCAAACAUGUAGCAGAAAAAUCAGGCAUUUCACGUUAUACAAAUCAGAUACACAUGUAAAGUAAGACAGGUAUAAAGUAAGACAGGUAAACACAAGAACUCAAAUAGGAAGGAUACAGGUGGCUCUCAGGAGCCAGCUUUCCAGCGCAGUACUUGAUCCAAGCCGGUUGACUCUCCGUCAACGUAUAUAGAACCAACACUUCCGUAGACCCCACUUUACACCCAAUUCCAUCCACCAAACACCCCUUUACCGGGCCCGCUCACCUCAACAGAAAUAGAAAUGGUAAUACUCGAGUAUACCGGAAUCAAGGGUCUCAAUACCCAAAGAUCCCAAAACAGACUACCGUGGUUUGUUAUCUAAUCGUCCAGGCCCUUGCCGGCCCGACUCGAAUAACUUAGCCAUAGGAUUUGAGCUCAUAGGUCACAGAAAGGUCGUUGGUUACAAGUUUCCAAAUGACGUUUGAACAGAUAUAGAUACAGAUUGACACCAAAAUUGGCAUAUGAACAGACAAGAGAACGAGUGUGAUAAAGUACACCCUCGUCUCAAACAAAUUAAACAGAUUGCAGAGCAGAAAUCAAGUUAAACAGCAAUGGAGGGGAGUGGUACACUCACCGGUUCAAGUACAGAUAGCUCAAAAGUUUUCACUUCGGAUUGGCUUUAAUCGCCAAGAAACCCUAAAAUAAUCAAAGUAAACCAAUUGAAGGUUUCACAUCCAGAAUCGAGUAAACAAAAUGCACAUGUGAGGCUCGACUACUAGUCGUAUGCCUCGCCAAAUAAUUACUAAUGCAAGGGUACAAAACAUGAUUUUUGGGAACAAAAAGGUAACAUGAAGACCUAGGUUCAACAACCCAAAAGCCCUUUAUUUCUAUCACAAGCCAAUUCAAACUUAAAGGAACCAAUCGGCCUAGAAAAAAUUGGACAGCACUUCCCCUAAAUUUCUUACUUUUCCAGCCAUCACGGCUUCAUUAUUUCCUCAAUCAACUCCCAAAGUCAUACUCAAUAUACAUUCAUCACCACAGCCGUUCAAUAGGCUCAAGGUUAUCCAAGUACAAAAGUUAGCUAGGAAAAUGACCGGAAAUAAAAGUUCAAAAAUGCAAGAUACUACAUCAAAAACGUAAAACAGAUUCACCAAAACGCAUUCUAGCGGAAACAUCAUAACUCAGGCUCUCCAAGUCCAAAUCUAGAAAUUCCAAAACCAGCUGAAAGCUAAGAAACAGGGAUAAAUUUCAUCAGAAGGCCUCAACAAUCAAUUCGGAAGUAAUUCCAGCCAAAACAACCAAUUACAGGCGCAAUUCUUACAUUCGGAUAAGACCAGGACAGCAAGGGUAAUUUUGACUUUUCUCAUUCUACACUACUCUGAUUGACCUGAAAUAUUUUAGGCACCUCUAAAAUGUUAUUCCCUACAACUUUCAUGUUUUAAGAUAAGGGCAAUUCGGCCUCUAACUAGGAGCUCAAAAUUCGGGCAGAAUGCUCCCACAAGAACCCUAAUUUUCUGAAAUUUCUUCCAAACCAGAAAUUGGUUGCAAUUAAUCACUUUUUCCACCUCCUAGAGUCAUUAUAUACCAUUUCCAAUCAUCAUAGAUAGCCACACAAUCAUGCUUAUAUUAAAACAGAAAAAUCCCCAAAAAUAAUAAAACUUCAUCACUUCAACCACAAAUCAAGAAAUAAUCCAUAAUAUUGCAUCUCAUACCACCACUAAUCAUGAUUUAAGCAUCAAUUAAGGGAGGAAAGUGGUUCUUCACAACUUACCUUAGAAACAAGAGAGAGAGAGCUAUUGGUCCUCUUAGCUUUCCAAAUAACUCCACAAAACAACUCACUAUCACUCCCUUAAGUGUUUCUAUGGAACAAAAACAAGUUUAGAUGGUUGAAUUCCUGGAUUUGAGCAAGAGAGAAUCAAGAAGUUGAAGAGGUUUUCUUUCUUCCUUUCCUAGAGAGAAAUUCGGCCAAGCUUGAAGAAAAUGGAAAAUAAUUGGUCAAUUUUUGGUUUUAUUUAGUAAUUGGUAAAAGGUUGAAUAGUAAGUCAAAACAAGAUUUAAUCAUAUGGUGACACAUGUCCCUCUCAUUAAUUCAUGCCUAACUUGUUUUUGUCUUUCUCACACCUAUGCACUUGGUACCUCUAAAUAUCUCAUAACACCCGAUAAAUUAAACCCAGUAUCCAAAACUUAACCUAAUUGGCCGAAUUUUUCCGAACUUUUCGCAUUAGCGGGUCCCACGUCCGUUAUACGUUCUUAAUUUUUCAAAAACUAACCGAUACUAGAAAAAUCAUUUAAAAAUUAUAUUUGCUCCUUAAAAUUAUCUAGAAAUUUUUUCUAAGCACGAAAAUGCAGAAAACAAGCCAUAAAAAUUAAUAAAACCUAGAAAAUGCAAAAAUACGGGUUCUCAUAGAUAGUAUCCUUAAUCACCGAGAAAACCUAAGAUUCAACGAGAAAGAAUAUAGCGCAACCAAUUAGGUGAAAUCGAAGAAACCCAAUAAAUGAUGAGUAAAACGCAUAAAAAUGACUUUAAAGCGAAACGGGGCAUUUGGACUGAUGGACGGAAAUAUCUAGGGUUUCACAAACCAAACGAAAAACUAAACUAAAAAGGGUUAUAAAAUUUUGCGGGAAAAAGUACUUGGACCAAAGAUAAGUCGGAAUCCAACUAGCCUUCAAGUAAAAUUUCGGCAGCAAAUCCCUUGUGUUUACCUAUUUUCCAGCCAUUAAUGGCUUCAUUAUUUCCUCAAAUCAGUCCCAACAUCUCACACAAAAUAAUCUCAUUUCCAAAAGCCAUUCACUAGGCUUAAAGUCAUUCAAGUACAGAAUUUAGCUAGGAAAAUGACCGGAAAUGAAAGUCAUGCCCUAAAAUAUUCCAAUAAGCACAAUAAGACUCGAUUACAAGUCAUAAACCAAUGCCAAAUACUACCGAAAGAGGGUUCCAUAAGCAUACAUAAGCAUUAGAGGAAACCAGAAAAUCCAGAAAUGGAGUUAAGCUUUAACCCUGAAAAAACAGUUUUUGACAUCAUUUUGCGGUUUUGGCACCAAAGGCACUACAAUUAUCGGAUGAAGGUACAAAACCCACCGUUUUGAAGCUAAAAGAUAGGGCUACAAUGUUCCAGAAGGAAACUCUGUCCAGUUUUGAGUGUAACCAGAUAAAAAAUGCAAGAUACUACACUAGAACCGGAAAAACAGAUUCACAAAUCGCAUUCUGGUGCAAACAUCAUAAAACAGGCUACCUAAGUCCAAAUCCAGAAAUUCCAAAGCCAUCUGAAAGAUGAGAAACAGGGAUACAAUUCAUCAGAAGACCUCAACAACUAAUUCUGAAGCAAUCCCAACCAAUUACAGAAGCAAUUCUCAUAUUCGGGUAAAACCAGGACAGCAAGGGUAAUUUUGACUUUUCUCAAGCUACGCUACUCCGAUUGACCUGAAAUUUUGUAGGCACCUCUAAAAUAUCAUUCCCUACAACUUUUAUGUUUUAAGACAAGGCCAAUUCGGCCUCUAACAUGGUGCAAUAAAACCGGACAGAAUGUAAGCUAAUGAACCCUAACUUUCCCAUUUUCCUUCCAAAACAGAAAUUUCUUGUAAUUAACCACACUUUCCACCUUCUAGCUUCCUUCAAUAUCAUUUCCAAUCAUCAUACAAAGCCAUAACAUAUGAAUCAUAUUAAAUCAGAAAAUUCAUGAUUAAAUAGAAAAUGUCAUCAAUCUUCACCAUAAGUCAUGAAAUCAUCCAAAAAAUCGCUUGUUCAACUACCACACCUACUAAUUUCACCUCAUAACCAACAAGGAAACAAUUUCUUAACCACUUACCUUACAAACACUAGAUACAAGGUAGAUGAGAGUCUCUCCCUCCAAACAAAAACCACCAAGCGCUUCAAUCACUCCUAGCAAGUAAGUUUUAUGGAGGAAUUUAAGAAAUAAAUGGUUGGAUUACAAGAUUUUGGCGAGAAAAGGGAACAAAUAUUGAAGAGCUCUCUUUCUUUUCUCUCUAGAGUUGGCUGGCCAAGAAGGUGAAAAUGAAAGACAAAUUUUGGUCAAAAUUGGUUUGGUAAAGGUAAAGAAAGACUAGUCAAAUGCCAAGCUCCAAUCACAAGGCAACAUGUGUCCAUUCCAAGCUUAUCUCAUUUCUUUUGUCUUGCAAGAAUUAAUGAACUAACCAAACCCCUAAUUAUCUCAUAACACCAUGUAAUAUAAACCAUGUAUACAAAACUACUCCAAAUGAACCACAUUUACCACACUUAUCGCACUAGUGGGUCCCACGUUCGGUAUACGCUCUUAAUUUCUCAAAAAACUAACCAAUACUAGAAAAUCAUCUAAAAACUAUAUUUACUCAUAAAAAUUAUUUUCACAAUUUUUUUAAAUAAAUAAAAUGUGGAAAAAUGUGCAAUUAAAAGAAAAAAAAAUAAAACCUAGUACUUAAGAAAAUUAUGGGCUCUAACAUAUUCCGCUCACAUGUCUCCAUACCAAGGCUGGCCGUCAAGCAAAAGUUCAACUCCACAAGCUUAAAUUUCCAUAAGCAAACUAAUGGAACAUAUGCAAGCUGGAAAAAUUACAUGACAUGGCUAAAAUAUAUAGUAAACAUGAUAUUAGCGUUUAACACUCAUUUUCAUUUUCCUUAACUAAAACGGGAAAUUUAUUGCUUGGGACAUGAAACAUGUAAAAGUGAAGUUUUCACCUCCCAAAACCUUUCAUUUUCUACUCCAAUUCACUACUCAUACCAAAGUUAAUGUUUAAUCACGUGUUUAGGACAUUAACAAGUUAAUUUCACCACACAAAACCAAGAUUAAAGCUAAACCAAAAUCACUCUCUCUUUCGGUCUGCCUCAAGGAGAAUUCCAGCCAUGAAAGCAGUGAAAUAAAUGGAGUUUAAACCACUUAAGGUCCAUGGUUUUGGUUUAUUUCCAACACAUACUUGUAGUUUAAAAGUCUUCUAGGGUGUUUUGAGCAAAUUGAGCUUAACAUCAUCUUGAAAAUUUAGCGAUCAAAGCUGAAAUUCCAGCAAGCAUUCUUUCUUUGGAAAAAUCAUAACUUAAAUUAUAAAUGUCAAAAACUCAUACAAAUUAUCUUGUUUAAAACUAGACUUGAAAUACUAACAAUUUUUAGAAGACAACUCAAGGAGAUUUGGUUCAUAAGUUAAUCCAAAUUGAGUCAUAAGUUACCACAACAUCCCAAUUUUUACUUGUUCAGGACCGAUUUUUCAGUCAAAUUUGCUGAUUUUCUGGUGCACAUAUAAAACGAACCACAGUUCCAAUUUUAUACCGUUGGAAAGAUCUAUGAGUAUAGUUUCAAACACAAUUGACGGCACUCAAUUUCAAUUUUUCUACACUAUGUUAUGAUCCGUUUACUAAAACUGUCUAGAGGUAACUGUUACCCAAAUUUCCAGCUUUCACAAGAGUUAUUUCAACUUUAUCUCUGCAAAUCUCACCUCUAAACCAGCAAUUUGCAACCAAGAUCAAAACCAACAUGCUAUAUAUCAUACAAAACAAGAAAUAUAACAGUUAGAGUGUGACUUCCUAGUGGAAACUCCUCAAACGGACAAGACAGCAAGCUGUGACACGGAUGGAGCAAAGUUCCUCCAAUUUUCCUCAAGCUGUCUUCACUUUUUUUUUUCUCAUCAAAACAACACCUUUCUUACUUAGCUUCAUCCAGAAGUCACGCAAUCACAUGUUUAUAAUAUAAGGUAUGGUAUUAAUCAAGCAUUUCCUAGCAAAACUUAACAAAAAUUGCAAAUAAGGGUUGAAAAUUGAUAGCUCAACUCUCUUGGCUUCCUCCUAAAAAUUCCAGCAGUCAAAACUAUUGCAUACAUGAAAUAUUUCUGCCAAUAUUCAGCUAUCAAAAGAAUAAUGGAUUCCCUAGCAAACAUCCAGCAAAAUAAACCAAAAGCUAAAAGAGAUGGCAGCCUUGACUAGUUCGAUUCAACCUGGAAACUUUCCAGCUACAAACAAGCUACUUCCACUAGUUUCUACCUCUAUCAAACUUCAAAUCAAACAUGUAUUCACAUCUUUGUAAAGUAUAAGGAAAGAUUGAAGUUUUUCAGCCAUAUUACCUUAUUUUUCUGCCACAAAUCAAUCUAAAAGUUGGCUCACCUUCUUGAUUCCUCCAUGGUUCAAGAAAGCUGAAAAAAAAAUGCAGGCUGUCCACUUCCUUCUCCUUCGGUCCAAGUUUCCUCGUUUUCUUCACCUCCCAAUAUGGCUUUCUUGUCUCUUUCUCACUCAUGGUUUAGGCUUGACGAAAUAGGGAGAUUUUGUGGAAUUACCAUGGCUAAAUCAGCCUUAACUCUUGGCUGAUGAUAAGAAGGAGAGGAUGAAGUUUUUUUUUUCUCAACUCUCUUCUCUCUCUCAGCUCCAACAUGAAGUGAAGAAAGGGGAAAUUGGC
RNAcentral lists this long non-coding RNA (8623 nucleotides) under Coffea arabica (coffee). RNAcentral's name for it is "long non-coding RNA (CARA_LNC004363)". Lineage: Eukaryota; Viridiplantae; Streptophyta; Magnoliopsida; Gentianales; Rubiaceae. The record is from RNAcentral.